RNAcentral lists this ribosomal RNA (315 nucleotides) under Vibrio parahaemolyticus. RNAcentral's name for it is "partial 23S ribosomal RNA". It matches the Rfam family "Bacterial large subunit ribosomal RNA", at positions 2634 to 2925 of the family's 2925-position model. The record is from RNAcentral. Lineage: Bacteria; Pseudomonadati; Pseudomonadota; Gammaproteobacteria; Vibrionales; Vibrionaceae.
GUCCCUAUCUGCCGUGGGCGUUGGAAGAUUGAAGGGGGCUGCUCCUAGUACGAGAGGACCGGAGUGGACGAACCUCUGGUGUUCGGGUUGUGUCGCCAGACGCAUUGCCCGGUAGCUAAGUUCGGAAUCGAUAACCGCUGAAAGCAUCUAAGCGGGAAGCGAGCCCUGAGAUGAGUCUUCCCUGAUACUUUAAGUAUCCUAAAGGGUUGUCGGAGACUACGACGUUGAUAGGUCAGGUGUGUAAGUGCUGUGAGGCAUUGAGCUAACUGAUACUAAUUGCCCGUGAGGCUUAACCAUACAACACCCAAGGGGUUU